Molecule: unclassified non-coding RNA, 250 nt
Filed under: Hevea brasiliensis (rubber tree)
Lineage: Eukaryota; Viridiplantae; Streptophyta; Magnoliopsida; Malpighiales; Euphorbiaceae
Source: RNAcentral
CACUUGUUGUAAUGCUUAAUUCUGCAGAGACUUCUCCUUUGGUAACUCAAAGUAAUGAUGACAAGGAGGCCAUUAGCAUAUACAGGCAUGCUAAAGAAGAAGCUGGAAAUGGUGAAUGCAAUACUGGAACAGCUCUAAUUUAUGGUUAUAACUUAGCUAUUUGGCUACUCUCUGUACUUGCUUGUCAUGAUGAGAAAACUAAAACUGUGAUAAUGGAGGCCGGAGCAGUUGAAGUCCUCACAGACAGAAU